Molecule: ribosomal RNA, 260 nt
Filed under: uncultured prokaryote
Description: partial 16S ribosomal RNA
Rfam family: Bacterial small subunit ribosomal RNA
Source: RNAcentral
UACGUAGGGUGCGAGCGUUGUCCGGAAUUACUGGGCGUAAAGAGCUCGUAGGUGGUUUGUCGCGUCGUCUGUGAAAUUCCGGGGCUUAACUCCGGGCGUGCAGGCGAUACGGGCAAUACUUGAGUGCUGUAGGGGAGACUGGAAUUCCUGGUGUAGCGGUGAAAUGCGCAGAUAUCAGGAGGAACGCCAAUGGCGAAGGCAGGUCUCUGGGCAGUAACUGACGCUGAGGAGCGAAAGCAUGGGUAGCGAACAGGAUUAGA